UUUUGUCAAUCAUAACCUAUUGAUCCCAAUAGGUUCUCUUAUAGCUGUAGUAUUUCUGUCAGAGCCAAUCAGUGCAUGUUGUUCCCCAGUACUAUUCCCCAACUGCUUGUUCUCACUGGUAUGCUGUUGAAUAGUAGUCCCAAUAGUACUAUUCCCCAACUGCAUUAUCUCACUGGUAUGUUCUGGUUGAACUGGCAUGCUUGCCUUUGCAUCUGCACAAGUCUUAGGAAUCCAUUCUUGUUUAGUAAAUUUGACCUGUUUUUGCAUUAUGGUUCUCUGUCUUCUUUUCUUUUCCUGCUCACCAAUAUCAUGUUCUACAUCAUUGCCUGCAUUAUGCCAGCAGUCAACAGAGUCAUGGCCAAAUUUCAGGCAAUGGUUGCAAAAACUAGGUUUCCA
This 396-nucleotide long non-coding RNA is filed under the name Nicotiana benthamiana. RNAcentral describes it as "long non-coding RNA (NBEN_LNC021635)". The record is from RNAcentral. Lineage: Eukaryota; Viridiplantae; Streptophyta; Magnoliopsida; Solanales; Solanaceae.